AGGCAGCCAGCACAAAAAAAAGAAAUCCAAUAGAAUCCAUUAAAAAUGAAAAGUGUCAAACACCCGGUGUGCAAAAAGAAAUCAUGCCAACAUUAAAGCUUAUCUGCUUGAGUUCAUGGAUCUAUGGAGAUGGACCCCAAUAUCUCCAGGAUGUUGUUAUUGCAAGAUCAGAUGGUCCCAAUUACUGCUGCUGAUCAGACCAGCAUGAGAUGACAAUAUUUGUAAGAGGCCAACGUCGUAGGAUUGCUAGAGUUACAUUUCUUAUCUGAAAGUUUGUGUUAUUAUGAAGAACACCUUGUGGUGUUUCGUUUCAGUUUGGGUAUCAUAUUCAAGCAAUGUGUGGCAGAAUUUUUGUGUCAAAGUUCUCUUUAAAUCAGUUUCCUCUUUUUCUUCCCCCAGUAAAUGAAUGAUCUGGAGGCAAAGAAAUGCUCUAUAUGUGCUUUCAUUCUCUGUAUAAUUUCAGCAGCUUAUCUUACAGUGUAAUUAACUGCUAGUAUUCCAAGACGUUGUUUUGAUAUUUUCCUAGCAGUGAAGCAAUACAAGGAUUUUUACUUUACUGUUUGAUUAAUACACUCUAUUUGUAGUUUUUGUCUGAAUUAUAUGAUUUUCCUAUCAGUUGCGGAGAUUUAAAGGAUAUAGUGACAACUCAGUGGACCAGGUUCUAAAAUUGCAAUGAUGACAAACUAUCAGCAAUUGGCAUCUUUGCACCGUAACACUGAUAUUGAACAUCUGGAGAAUGCAAAUACACAACUAGAUAGAAAUCUUGAAACAGUUCCCUGAGAUUUCAUGCUCCUCAAAAAGGGUGUACUUAGUUAAAUUUAUCUUUGAUGGUGGAUCUGUAGAUGUUAAUGAAUUGUUCAAGAUUUCCAGGCAUUUAUGAUCAAAACUUGAUGUAAACUAUUUGGACAUGCCACUUUAUUUGGCUGAAGUUUCUCUGUGU
This is a long non-coding RNA of Hypanus sabinus (Atlantic stingray), 940 nucleotides long. RefSeq lists it as uncharacterized. The record is from RefSeq and is a predicted model, not a curated record. NCBI's taxonomy places the organism in Eukaryota, Metazoa, Chordata, Chondrichthyes, Myliobatiformes, Dasyatidae. The transcript is spliced from 3 exons.